Neodiprion virginianus is the source of this 3064-nucleotide long non-coding RNA. RefSeq lists it as uncharacterized. NCBI's taxonomy places the organism in Eukaryota, Metazoa, Arthropoda, Insecta, Hymenoptera, Diprionidae. The transcript has 2 exons. The record is from RefSeq and is a predicted model, not a curated record.
UGUCGUGUCCAAAAGCAACACAAAAACACAAAGAAAAAGGUCCGUUUGAACAACCAACAAAAUCCGAAGUUGUAUUGGAAACCAUAUUAAGUGGACACAGAGAUUUAUCGGACACAGCCUGAUUGGACAGUAACGAUGUUAGAUGCCGCAUAUUGAAUAAACUCCGACGGACCAAGAAUUUAAAUAAAUAUUCAAGCACUCGGUUGAAACCAAAAUUUGUCAGAUGUGUAAAAGUAUUUCUAAAGUCUCAUUUCCAGCCGAUUGCGGCAAACGGAAGCCCCGGUAUAUAUAAAUUUAUACGGCACUACACGUUCAACUUAAAGAAGACGGGAUUCAAGGUCAAGGGGAUUACAUAGAAUUUUUUUCUCCGCUGUAGAAUCAGUAAUCACUCAAUUUUAUGUCAUGAAAAAUCUUUAUAGCGUGGUUGACUGGAUACACAACACAAAAAAAAUAUUUACGCUUAAAAACAUUUUUCUUUGAAUCGUAUCUUUCAGCGACGGUUUGAUGGUGACAAAUUAUUUUUGUCCAAAAGCUGACGGUUUGAUAAACGAAGGAUAUGUGUCGAAAAAUUGUUUUUCAGACGCCAAUUACAGUAUAAGGAAAAAAAAAUCACGCCGCGGUAAAUGCUCGUUUCCAACUGUUUGAACAAUUUUAAGAUAAUGUUCUUUAUUCAAUCUAACAUAUUCCCAAAGUUGGAGAUAUCAAAAAACUGUCUUCGGAAUUCAAAGGAUGACUCAUUUAUAAUGCUCGCAGUUCCACGAUGACAAUGAUUAUACCACUACAUGAUAUAGUAAGAUGGGAUGGCAUAAAGAUAUGCAUCGUAUAUAUAAUUUAUUGUUAACAAAAAACCAAAUGAUAAAUUCGUCGAUUCUUGAUCAGCCCUACUAAAAACAAAUAGACUUUCCGGAACGUAUAUAAUCCUGUGAUAGACGUGACAAGUUAGUGAUUGGUUGCGAAAUCAUAUACUGGUGCUAUCUCGCAUGUGUAUUUAAUUGUAAGAGGGGUCUGAAAAAGAGGGAUUCCUGGUCCGACAGAGUAAUAUAACACUAUAUUUGAAUAUUUGAAGCAUUUCAUACUGAACUUCCAAGAUGUUUAAAUGUCAUAGAUAUUCUGCCGUGCUUUUACAGUAAGAAACCGGUUUCAGAUUCAUAUAAAUGUGUAUUUUUGUACGUCAGUUAUGUAACAAUUUCCUCCGAAGGAUUUUUUUUCAACCGACCUUCAAAUUCUGAGCCGUAUCUAUAUUUUUAGCACUCAUUUUUAACACUACUUGAUGGAAAAGAUGUAGGAUUGAUUAUUACGGUGGUAAUUAUUUUGGGGAUAAAAAUCUGCACGGAAUGAAUAUUGUAAGAAUGCGGAUUUCUCUAUUUAAUUGUAUAUCCUCACGUAUUUACUUUAUGUACCUCACGUAUCAACUUUUCCAGAAGUUGAGUAGCAAUUUUUGCUCUCAAAGAUAAUUUCAGGAUUUAAGGUAUUUAAGGAGCAGUAGACACCCUGUAUGUUAUUAUCAUAAGUUAAUACUCCGUAUUUUACGCUCAGCAAAGUUAGUUCUGUCACUGACAGCCUGAUUCUUUAUGUAUUUGCUUAUUGAUUCAAUUGGUGCUUUGCAACAGUGGCAACCAAACUCGCUAACUGUAACUCUAUAGUGCGUAGUGUACAACAUUAUUUCACAAAGAUGAUGAAGCUUGUAUGCAAAAUAGAGACUACAUGGCAUGCGAUAAAUGAAAUAAUUAUAGAAUUAUACAAUCCCUUCCUUUCCCAAUGUUGGAUAUAAAUACUUGUUGCCUAUCAAGAAAUGUAGAUAAAUAUAACUAACACAAAACGUGACUGGUAUUUGAAGGGUGGUCGUGUAAAAAGCUCUUUGAGAACUGCGCAUCAAUAGACAGUUCACUUACAACGAUACCCAUUCAACGGAUCAUUCAUUCGGACAGGUUGUCACUGUUACAAAAGACAAUUAUUUUUAUUUACACAAUUUGAAACUCGAUAUGGUCUGAUGCUAAGGUAUAAAAAACUACGACGACUGAAGCAGGAUUAUGCCACAACCACACUUUUCGGGACCCUCCUUGAAUGAUGAUUAUUCCAUAAAUUGACUACAUUAUGUAUUAAAGUUACAAUUGCUAAUAUAAACACUAUUUUCUCUAGUUGAUACUAAAACUGUCAAUUGAUGACGAAAAAAGCUUUGGCUCAUACUUAGAAAGACGUAUCUUUUUCUUUCGUAGUUAUCUACGUAUAUGUUUAUUUAAAUUAGCUAAUUACAGUCUCUGAGCAAACCUGUAGUGAACACAUCAUCCAUAACUGAAAAUAAAUAUAUUCAUCUGAUUUUCAGGAAGAAACAAAAAUAUUUUCAUUCGGCUAACCAUGGCUGGAUGGGUUUGGUUAAUAUCGGGAUUAAAUUGGAUUGAACUAUGGAUUGACCUUCGUGACACACAUGAAUCCAUAAAAAGUUUUCCUCAUUCUGGUGCGACCAUGUGCCUAAUUGUCAUACGUCGUUUUACACUUUGCUGUACUGUCUUCGCGUGUCUAUUCUGCACUCGAAGAAAACUGAGACGUGAUAUCUACGAUGUUGAAUCUGUCGAUUGCAUCGUUCGUAUCAUAAAUUAUGUUAAACCAAGAGACAUUGAUUCAGAAUUAAUCUUAGAAUAUAGUAUAAUAGAAUUUUAAUACUAAUAUUUUACAGUUAUACGUAUAGUGUUGUAUGUAGUGAAAAAAGGCUUAUUUUUAUACUCCAAGCUCAUUAUAAUAUCUACAACAAGUAUAUAAUAUUUUAAUCAAGUUAUUCAAGCUCCUACAAUGGCUAUAUACACUUUUCGAAAAUCACACGUAAAAUACGUGUUUAAUCAAUUGCAAUUAAACUUCUCAUAAACAAACAUUUCAUUGUGUAUUUGAAAAUGAAAAUUACUUAAUAAGACAAAAAAUUAUGAUCAUCUUGCUGUCAACUAGUGGCAACUUAUAUUCGUUUCACAGUAAGACUUAUACUGUAAGAUCGUUCCUAUGUUACGUUUUAAUACUCCAAUCUGUCUGUCGACUGAAUGUGAAUUAUUUCUAUAAGAGUUCAAUUGUAAGUAUA